RNAcentral lists this ribosomal RNA (433 nucleotides) under uncultured bacterium. Its description in RNAcentral is "partial 16S ribosomal RNA". It matches the Rfam family "Bacterial small subunit ribosomal RNA", at positions 29 to 507 of the family's 1533-position model. The record is from RNAcentral.
AACGGACGCUGGCGGCAUGCCUAACACAUGCAAGUCGAACGAGACCUUCGGGUCUAGUGGCGCACGGGUGCGUAACGCGUGGGAACCUGCCCUUAGGUUCGGAAUAACUCCCCGAAAGGGGUGCUAAUACCGGAUAAUGUCUUCGGACCAAAGAUUUAUCGCCUUUGGAUGGGCCCGCGUUGGAUUAGCUAGUUGGUAGGGUAAAAGCCUACCAAGGCGACGAUCCAUAGCUGGUCUGAGAGGAUGAUCAGCCACACUGGGACUGAGACACGGCCCAGACUCCUACGGGAGGCAGCAGUGGGGAAUAUUGGACAAUGGGCGAAAGCCUGAUCCAGCAAUGCCGCGUGAGUGAUGAAGGCCUUAAGGUUGUAAAGCUCUUUUACCCGGGAUGAUAAUGACAGUACCGGGAGAAUAAGCUCCGGCUAACUCCGUG